Molecule: ribosomal RNA, 624 nt
Filed under: Lactiplantibacillus plantarum subsp. plantarum
Lineage: Bacteria; Bacillati; Bacillota; Bacilli; Lactobacillales; Lactobacillaceae
Description: bacterial SSU rRNA
Rfam family: Bacterial small subunit ribosomal RNA
Source: RNAcentral
GCAGUCGACGAACUCUGGUAUUGAUUGGUGCUUGCAUCAUGAUUUACAUUUGAGUGAGUGGCGAACUGGUGAGUAACACGUGGGAAACCUGCCCAGAAGCGGGGGAUAACACCUGGAAACAGAUGCUAAUACCGCAUAACAACUUGGACCGCAUGGUCCGAGUUUGAAAGAUGGCUUCGGCUAUCACUUUUGGAUGGUCCCGCGGCGUAUUAGCUAGAUGGUGGGGUAACGGCUCACCAUGGCAAUGAUACGUAGCCGACCUGAGAGGGUAAUCGGCCACAUUGGGACUGAGACACGGCCCAAACUCCUACGGGAGGCAGCAGUAGGGAAUCUUCCACAAUGGACGAAAGUCUGAUGGAGCAACGCCGCGUGAGUGAAGAAGGGUUUCGGCUCGUAAAACUCUGUUGUUAAAGAAGAACAUAUCUGAGAGUAACUGUUCAGGUAUUGACGGUAUUUAACCAGAAAGCCACGGCUAACUACGUGCCAGCAGCCGCGGUAAUACGUAGGUGGCAAGCGUUGUCCGGAUUUAUUGGGCGUAAAGCGAGCGCAGGCGGUUUUUUAAGUCUGAUGUGAAAGCCUUCGGCUCAACCGAAGAAGUGCAUCGGAAACUGGGAAACUUGAGUG